UCUCCGUUGGUGAACCAGCGGAGGGAUCAUUACUGGAAUCGCAAGAUCCCACAACCCUGUGAACCUACCGAAGCGUUGCCUCGGCGGGUGCCUGGCCUCUGCGCCGGGCGCUGCGCCCGCCGGCGGCCCCCUACUCUGUCUCUGCAGCGUGGCAUCUCAGAGUCCCAGAAAACAAGUCAAAACUUUCAACAACGGAUCUCUUGGCUCUA
RNAcentral lists this unclassified non-coding RNA (209 nucleotides) under plant metagenome. RNAcentral describes it as "partial contains small subunit ribosomal RNA, internal transcribed spacer 1, and 5.8S ribosomal RNA". The record is from RNAcentral.